GUGGGGAAUUUUGGACAAUGGGCGCAAGCCUGAUCCAGCGACACCGCGUGGAGGACGAAGGCCUUCGGGUUGUAAACUCCUUUUGGAGGGGAAGAAUAAAUUGACGGUACCCUCAGAAAAAGCCACGGCUAACUACGUGCCAGCAGCCGCGGUAAUACGUAGGUGGCGAGCGUUACUCGGAAUUACUAGGCGUAAAGCGUAUGUAGGUGGUUAGAUAAGUCUAUGGUGAAAUUUCCUGGCUUAACUGGGAAGGGACAUAGAUACUAUCUGGCUUGAGGGUGGGAGGGGGAGACGGAAUUCCUGGUGUAGCGGUGAAAUGCGUAGAUAUCAGGAGGAACACCGAUGGCGAAAGCAGUCUCCUGGCCCAAUACUGACACUGAGGUACGAAAGCUAGGGUAGCAAACAGGAUUAGAAACCCCAGUAGUCC
This 427-nucleotide ribosomal RNA is filed under the name uncultured bacterium. Its description in RNAcentral is "partial 16S ribosomal RNA". It matches the Rfam family "Bacterial small subunit ribosomal RNA", at positions 354 to 796 of the family's 1533-position model. The record is from RNAcentral.